UACGUAGGGAGCAAGCGUUGUCCGGAAUCAUUGGGCGUAAAGCGCGCGUAGGUGGCCCCAUAAGUCCGCUGUGAAAGUCAAAGGCUCAACCUUUGAAAGCCGGUGGAUACUGUGGGACUAGAGUACGGAAGAGGCGAGUGGAAUUCCUGGUGUAGCGGUGGAAUGCGCAGAUAUCAGGAGGAACACCGAUGGCGAAGGCAGGUCUCUGGGCCGAUACUGACGCUGAGGAGCGAAAGCGUGGGGAGCGAACAGG
RNAcentral lists this ribosomal RNA (253 nucleotides) under uncultured bacterium. RNAcentral's name for it is "partial 16S ribosomal RNA". It matches the Rfam family "Bacterial small subunit ribosomal RNA", at positions 524 to 776 of the family's 1533-position model. The record is from RNAcentral.